GAACGUCAAACUAAUCAGAGAUGAUCAGCGGUAUUCCGUGCCGCAACGCGACCGGUCACGGAUAGAAGAGCCUCCACCAAACCACUUACUGAGAAAGAGUUACAGAGAAUAGCCGAAAACUUAUCUGAUAUUGAGGAUGAUAUUGUCGACUUUGAGAGGAGGAAGUAAGUGAAGAAGAUUGCUAUAACAGUGAAUUGGAACAGUCCGCUGAUGAAUUUUCCGAAGAAACUGAAUCCUUUUUCAGGCCCAAUGAGAGUGAACGUUUUUAUAUUGGGAAAAAUGAAGAGACGAUUUGAAAAAGUACUCCUGUAAUUCAAGGUAAUAAAACCAAGGCUAAAAAUAUUAUCAAAGUUUUACCUGGAUCAAAAGGUGCGGCCAAAAAUGUGUCAAAACCAUUAGAUUCGUUUUUUCUGUUUUUGACUAGGGAUAUGGUAGAUCAUAUCGUACUAUGCACUAAUAUUUAUAUCAAAAAUAAACGUGAUAAUUUUAUACGAGACCGAGAUUGUAAGUUAACUUCUUCCGAAGAAAUGUUGGCAUUAUUUGGAGCACUUUUCAUAAUUUUCAUAAAAAAAGGAAACCACGUAAAUGUUGAAGAACUUUGGGCCAAAGAUGAGACAGGAAUGAUUCUGUUAAGAGCAUUAUUCAGUUAUAAAAGAUUUUUGUUUCUUCUUCGUGCCCUUCGUUUCGAUGAUAUAACAACAAGAAAAGAACGCGAGAAAUUUGAUAAAUUAGCAGCGAUAAGAAAGAUAUUUGAGGAUUUUGUCAAAAAUUACUUGAAAAGUUAUAGUUUGGGUGAGUUUAUUACAAUUGACGAAAUGUUACAUCCAUUUCGAGGAUGAUGCGGAUUUGUUCAGUAUAUGUCACUAAAACCUGCCAAAUAUGGCAUCAAAUUCUAUGCUCUUUGUGACAGUAAAACGUACUACACUUGGAAAUUUGAAAUAUAUUGUGGAUUACAACGGGAGGGACCUUUCAAAACUUCAAACAAACCA
Anthonomus grandis grandis is the source of this 989-nucleotide long non-coding RNA. RefSeq lists it as uncharacterized. The record is from RefSeq and is a predicted model, not a curated record. The transcript has 2 exons. Lineage: Eukaryota; Metazoa; Arthropoda; Insecta; Coleoptera; Curculionidae.